GCCUAGACCGAUGUCACCACUUAUCUGCAGUUCUCCUGUGAUGUUUCCAGGGUACAUGAUUAAGACUCAUUUAACAUUCCAGGAAUGUUCUGCUGAUGAAUAAUCACUGAGCUGGAGUCAAGGGAAGAAGCUUUAGAUACUAACUGACCCUGUGACCAUGAGCAAGUCACUUCCCUUCUCUGUGCCUCAAUUUCCUCACUUAUAAAGUGAAAACAAAGGGCCAAGUGAGGGUGAAAGGAUCCCCCUACCCUGGAGAUCUGUGAUUCUAUAACAUAUAGGCAGGAAAGACUUGAUAACACACUCAGGGUCUAUGUGGGCUGUUCUGAAGGCAUCUGGCCACCCAUCACCUUUUUAUGGCCAAGUACCAGGUUGGUUCUGUGGUUCCAAUUACAGGAACAGAACAGGUUCUGUUUUCCCCCAAUUACAGGAAAUUGGCCUUGCCUCUCUGGGUGCACCUGAUGAAUACAUUGAAAAGCUCGCCACAAUUUACUGGUUUACUGUGGAGUUUGGGCUCUGCAAACAAGGAGACUCCAUAAAGGCAUAUGGUGCUGGGCUCCUGUCAUCCUUUGGUGAAUUACAGUACUGCUUAUCAGAGAAGCCAAAGCUUCUCCCCCUGGAGCUGGAGAAGACAGCCAUCCAAAAUUACACUGUCACGGAGUUCCAGCCCCUGUAUUACGUGGCGGAGAGUUUUAAUGAUGCCAAGGAGAAAGUAAGGAACUUUGCUGCCACAAUACCUCGGCCCUUCUCAGUUCGCUACGACCCAUACACCCAAAGGAUUGAGGUCUUGGACAAUACCCAGCAGCUUAAGAUUUUGGCUGAUUCCAUUAACAGUGAAAUUGGAAUCCUGUGCAGUGCCCUCCAGAAAAUAAAGUAAAGCCAUGGACAGAAUGUGGUCUGUCAGCUGUGAAUCUGUUGAUGGAGAUCCAACUGUUUCUUUCAUCAGAAAAAGUCCGAAAAGCA
RNAcentral lists this small RNA (960 nucleotides) under Pan troglodytes (chimpanzee). Its description in RNAcentral is "retained intron". The record is from RNAcentral. Lineage: Eukaryota; Metazoa; Chordata; Mammalia; Primates; Hominidae.